This 483-nucleotide ribosomal RNA is filed under the name uncultured bacterium. Its description in RNAcentral is "partial 16S ribosomal RNA". It matches the Rfam family "Bacterial small subunit ribosomal RNA", at positions 30 to 507 of the family's 1533-position model. The record is from RNAcentral.
AUUGAACGCUGGCGGCAGGCCUAACACAUGCAAGUCGAGCGGAUGAAGGGAGCUUGCUCCUGGAUUCAGCGGCGGACGGGUGAGUAAUGCCUAGGAAUCUGCCUGGUAGUGGGGGAUAACGUCCGGAAACGGGCGCUAAUACCGCAUACGUCCUGAGGGAGAAAGUGGGGGAUCUUCGGACCUCACGCUAUCAGAUGAGCCUAGGUCGGAUUAGCUAGUUGGUGGGGUAAAGGCCUACCAAGGCGACGAUCCGUAACUGGUCUGAGAGGAUGAUCAGUCACACUGGAACGAGGAAACGGUCCAGACUCCUACGGGAGGCAGCAGGGGGGAAUAUUGGACAAUGGGCGAAAGCCUGAUCAAGCCAGGCCGCGGGGGUGAAGAAGGUCUUCGGAUUGUAAAGCACUUUAAGUUGGGAGGAAGGGCAGUAAGUUAAUACCUUGCUGUUUGACGUUACCAACAGAAUAAGCACCGGCUAACUUCGUG